This 2591-nucleotide small RNA is filed under the name Pongo abelii (Sumatran orangutan). RNAcentral describes it as "retained intron". Lineage: Eukaryota; Metazoa; Chordata; Mammalia; Primates; Hominidae. The record is from RNAcentral.
GCAAAGUAAAGGAAGAUAAAUUUAAAGGAAGUCUUUCUGAAGGAAUGAAAGUUGAGCAGGAAUCUUCGUCUGAUGAUAACCUUGAAGACUUUGAUGUAGAGGAAGAAGAUGAAGAAGCCCUAAUAGAACAGAGAAGAAUCCAAAGGCAGGCAAUUGUUCAGAAAUAUAAAUACCUUGCUGAAGAUAGCAAUAUGUCUGUGCCAUCUGAACCAAGCAGCCCUCAGAGCAGUACGAGAACACGAUCACCAUCUCCAGAUGACAUUCUGGAGCGAGUAGCUGCUGAUGUUAAAGAGUAUGAACGGGAAAAUGUUGAUACAUUUGAGGCCUCAGUGAAAGCCAAGCAUAAUCUAAUGACAGUUGAACAGAAUAAUGGUUCAUCUCAGAAGAAGUUGUUGGCACCUGAUAUGUUUACAGAAUCUGAUGAUAUGUUUGCUGCGUAUUUUGAUAGUGCUCGUCUUCGGGCCGCUGGCAUUGGAAAAGAUUUCAAAGAGAAUCCCAACCUCAGAGAUAACUGGACCGAUGCAGAAGGCUAUUAUCGUGUGAACAUAGGUGAAGUCCUAGAUAAACGUUACAAUGUGUAUGGCUACACUGGGCAAGGUGUGUUCAGUAACGUUGUGCGAGCCAGAGACAAUGCAAGAGCCAGCCAAGAAGUGGCUGUAAAGAUCAUCAGGAACAAUGAGCUCAUGCAAAAGACUGGUUUAAAAGAAUUAGAGUUCUUGAAAAAACUUAACGAUGCUGAUCCUGAUGACAAAUUUCAUUGUCUGAGACUCUUCAGGCACUUCUACCACAAGCAGCAUCUUUGUCUCGUAUUCGAGCCCCUCAGUAUGAACUUACGAGAGGUGUUAAAAAAAUAUGGUAAAGAUGUUGGUCUUCAUAUUAAAGCUGUAAGAUCCUAUAGUCAGCAGUUGUUCCUGGCAUUGAAACUCCUUAAAAGAUGCAAUAUCCUACAUGCAGAUAUCAAGCCAGACAAUAUCCUGGUUAAUGAAUCCAAAACCAUUUUAAAGCUUUGCGAUUUUGGGUCGGCUUCACAUGUUGCGGAUAAUGACAUAACACCUUAUCUUGUCAGUAGAUUUUAUCGUGCUCCUGAAAUCACAGCUGCACGAGUUCAUUCAUGAGGAAGGGAACCAUAGCAAGUUCAUCCUCCUCAGGUGGAAUGAAGGUAGUUGUGACAGGAGUCUUGAUCAUGUCGGGCAAGAGUAGCAAAACAGUUGUGGAAAAUCCUCGACUUUAGAAGACUGCUCUUGAUUAUUCAAGUUAUAGGUAAAAGCUAUGACUAUGGUAUAGAUAUGUGGUCUGUAGGUUGCACCUUAUACGAACUCUAUACUGGAAAAAUUUUAUUCCCUGGCAAAACCAAUAACCAUAUGCUGAAGCUUGCAAUGGAUCUCAAAGGAAAGAUGCCAAAUAAGAUGAUUCGAAAAGGUGUGUUCAAAGAUCAGCAUUUUGAUCAAAAUCUCAACUUCAUGUACAUAGAAGUUGAUAAAGUAACAGAGAGGGAGAAAGUUACUGUUAUGAGCACCAUUAAUCCAACUAAGGACCUGUUGGCUGACUUGAUUGGGUGUCAGAGACUUCCUGAAGACCAACGUAAGAAAGUACACCAGCUAAAGGACUUGUUGGACCAGAUUCUGAUGCUGGACCCAGCUAAACGAAUUAGCAUCAACCAGGCCCUACAGCAUGCCUUCAUCCAGGAAAAAAUUUAAACAAGAUGAAGAAACUCCAAGGGUUUGAGUAAAUACAAAGACUGAAGAAAUUUCACAGCAGUUUAUUAAUGUAUAUAAACUUAUAAAUAUUUCUCCAGCAAAUUUGAGGAAGCAUGAUAUAUUUGAAUUAACACCAAGGGUGAUAUUUCUUUUAGAAAUGUUAGUUAAUCUGUUUUGUGUCUUACGUGAAAUUUCACUGUAGAACUGUUUUAAAUUGCCAAGACUGCACAAAAUUACAGUGCUAAUGUAUAUGGUUGCAGUUCACAUAAAGACAAAAGCAUCUGUUAUAAAAUGAGUAGUAAUAUUGGGUGGUUGAUUUGUUUUUAGCAGACUUGGCUUCAUUUUGGUCUUGAGAUAAAAUGGCCAGCAUAAAUGCUGUUUAUAUUCACGUUUUCCUAGGUGUGUGUGUGCAGGCCACAGCAGCAUGCCCUUGGUGUAGUCAGUGCCGAAAGGGGUCUGUUCCUUCUUGAGCCUGCCUGCAGGGAUGGUCUCCUUUUAAAGCAGGUUGUGUGCAGCAUUCAGUACACUGAAGGCAUAAACCUUCCACUCUUGAACAAAGCAGCUGCUUUUUAAAAGCGAGAAAAAGGAAAACGGGGCACAGGCCAUUCGACGCCUUCUCCAAGGGGUCUGAUUUGCUGAGACACCAGCUUCACCUUCUUAACAAGGUGCAGCUCAGUGGAAGAUGAUGACAACCAGAAGACAUGAGCUAAGGGUAAGGGACUGUUCUGAAGAACCUUUCCAUUUAAUGAUCAAGAUAUGGAAGCUGAUUUCUGAAAAUGCUCAGUGUAUACUCUAAUUAUUUAUGGUACCAUUUGAAUUGUAACUUGCAUUUUAGUAGUGCAUGUUUCUAAUUGACUUACUGGGAAACUGAAUAAAAUAUGCCUCUUAUUAUCA